RNAcentral lists this ribosomal RNA (542 nucleotides) under Moesziomyces antarcticus. RNAcentral's name for it is "LSU rRNA". It matches the Rfam family "Eukaryotic large subunit ribosomal RNA", at positions 133 to 656 of the family's 3401-position model. Lineage: Eukaryota; Fungi; Basidiomycota; Ustilaginomycetes; Ustilaginales; Ustilaginaceae. The record is from RNAcentral.
GGCGUCCGCAUUGUAAUCUCAAGAAGUGUUUUCCGCUUCGGACCAAGCCUAAGUCCCCUGGAAAGGGGCAUCAUAGAGGGUGAUAAUCCCGUACAUGGCUUGGAGCGCCCGAGGCUUUGUGAUACGCUUUCUAAGAGUCGAGUUGUUUGGGAAUGCAGCUCAAAAUGGGUGGUAAAUGCCAUCUAAGGCUAAAUAUUGGGGAGAGACCGAUAGCGAACAAGUACAGUGAUGGAAAGAUGAAAAGAACUUUGAAAAGAGAGUUAAACAGUACGUGAAAUUGCCAAAAGGGAAGGGUAGGAGGUCAGAGAUGCGGCCUGGGAUUCAGCCUUGCUUUUGCUUGGUGUUUUUCCCAGAUUGCAGGCCAACGUCGGUUUUGGGCACUGGAGAAGGGUAGGAGGAACGUGGCACCCCUCGGGGUGUGUUAUAGCCUCCUACUGGAUACAGCGACCGAGACCGAGGACAGCAGCGUACUCGCAAGAGCGGGCCUUCGGGCACCUUUACGCUUAGGGCGUUGGCAUAAUGGCCCUCUACCACCCGUCUUG